UACGAGGGGUGCAAGCGUUGCUCGGAAUUAUUGGGCGUAAAGGGCUCGUAGGCGGUCUGUUGCGUCGGGAGUGAAAACUUACAGCUUAACUGUGAGCGUGCUUCCGAUACGGGCAGACUUGAGGUAUUCAGGGGAGAACGGAAUUCCUGGUGUAGCGGUGAAAUGCGUAGAUAUCAGGAGGAACACCGGCGGUGUAGACGGCUCUCUGGACCGUUACUGACGCUGAGAUACGAAAGCGUGGGUAGCAAACAGG
RNAcentral lists this ribosomal RNA (253 nucleotides) under uncultured bacterium. RNAcentral's name for it is "partial 16S ribosomal RNA". It matches the Rfam family "Bacterial small subunit ribosomal RNA", at positions 524 to 776 of the family's 1533-position model. The record is from RNAcentral.